UAUUAGUAACAUUCAUUUAUUUAUUGCAAAGUAAUUAGAUUUUAUCUUAUACUAUAUCGCAUAGAAUGCUAAAUAAUAAGUUAUGAAAUUAUUAAUAGAAUAAAGGAUAAAUGUUAAGUUAUACUUACAAAAAAUAAAUAUAAACAUCAUUACUAUAUGCCUCCUCUGCUAGCAGAGAAAGCAUAUAGUAAUGAUGUUUGUAUUGGGUGGGAACGUACUACAAUAAUAAAGCCUGUCACUCUGCCUAACCAAGCUUAUACCCAAGAAGCUUUGCAAAUUAUCACUAGAGGACAUGACUGCCACCUUAUCAAUGACAGAACAGUGGUCCAAGUACCUGCUGCUUGGGAGUAUUUACUGUGCGAGUUUAAUGGACCUGAUCCGAAGUAAUGAUCGUCCCGCUCAGUGUAGUUU
Molecule: long non-coding RNA, 411 nt
Filed under: Androctonus crassicauda
Lineage: Eukaryota; Metazoa; Arthropoda; Arachnida; Scorpiones; Buthidae
Source: RNAcentral